This 497-nucleotide ribosomal RNA is filed under the name uncultured bacterium. Its description in RNAcentral is "partial 16S ribosomal RNA". It matches the Rfam family "Bacterial small subunit ribosomal RNA", at positions 28 to 507 of the family's 1533-position model. The record is from RNAcentral.
GACGAACGCUGGCGGCGUGCCUAAUACAUGCAAGUUGAGCGCUGAAGGUCGGUACUUGUACCAACUGGAUGAGCAGCGAACGGGUGAGUAACGCGUGGGGAAUCUGCCUUUGAGCGGGGGACAACAUUUGGAAACGAAUGCUAAUACCGCAUAAAAACUUUAAACACAAGUUUUAAGUUUGAAAGAUGCAAUUGCAUCACUCAAAGAUGAUCCCGCGUUGUAUUAGCUAGUUGGUGAGGUAAAGGCUCACCAAGGCGAUGAUACAUAGCCGACCUGAGAGGGUGGUCAGCCACAUUGGGACUGAGACACGGCCCAAACUCAUACGGGAGGCAGCAGUAGGGAAUCUUCAGCAAUGGACGGAAGUCUGACCGCGCAACGCCGCGUGAGUGAAGAAGGUUUUCGGAUCGUAAAACUCUGUUGGUAGGGAAGAACGUUGGUGAGAGUGGAAAGAUCAUCGAGUGACGGUAACUAGCCAGAAAGGAACGGCUAACUACGUG